Molecule: ribosomal RNA, 160 nt
Filed under: uncultured bacterium
Lineage: Bacteria
Description: partial 16S ribosomal RNA
Rfam family: Bacterial small subunit ribosomal RNA
Source: RNAcentral
AAACUCCUACGGGAGGCAGCAGUGGGGAAUAUUGCACAAUGGGGGGAACCCUGAUGCAGCGACGCCGCGUGAGCGAAGAAGUAUUUCGGUAUGUAAAGCUCUAUCAGCAGGGAAGAAGAAAUGACGGUACCUGACUAAGAAGCACCGGCUAAAUACGUGC